This 74-nucleotide transfer RNA is filed under the name Bacteroidota bacterium. RNAcentral describes it as "Bacteroidetes bacterium (hydrothermal vent metagenome) tRNA-OTHER". It matches the Rfam family "tRNA". Rfam says of the family: Transfer RNA (tRNA) molecules are approximately 80 nucleotides in length. Their secondary structure includes four short double-helical elements and three loops (D, anti-codon, and T loops). Further hydrogen bonds mediate the characteristic L-shaped molecular structure. tRNAs have two regions of fundamental functional importance: the anti-codon, which is responsible for specific mRNA codon recognition, and the 3' end, to which the tRNAs corresponding amino acid is attached (by aminoacyl-tRNA synthetases). tRNAs cope with the degeneracy of the genetic code in two manners: having more than one tRNA (with a specific anti-codon) for a particular amino acid; and 'wobble' base-pairing, i.e. permitting non-standard base-pairing at the 3rd anti-codon position. Lineage: Bacteria; Pseudomonadati; Bacteroidota. The record is from RNAcentral.
UUUGGAGUAACUCAGUUGGUAGAGUCAUCCCGAUCCAUCGGGAUUGGUCGCGGGUUCGAGUCCCGUCUCCCGCU